CAGCCGGACACAGCGGUUGUUUUUUCUGCAGUUUCUACAGGUCUGGGGACAACAUGGAUUCACUCGGAAUAAAGACAGCUCUGUUUGCACAACUUGGCAUGUACGUGACUUUGCCGGAUUGUAGCAAGUCCGGUGAUCCAGCGAUAACAUUGCGUAUUAUUUCAUACAGCAUUAGGAUGAUAAAACACUGUAGAUAUCAUCGAAAUUGACAUCAAGACACUGUUCAACCAACAGUUUUGGGGCACACAUCCAGUUCUCAAAAUAAAUGCACUAAUCUUAUACAAGCUGGCACCAUUGCACAUUGCAAAAAUCAAACACCCCUUCUUCUGGGAGAUAGCAGAAAUUGAAAGCAAAUAAAAUAUGCAUGAAAGCAGGAGGAAACAAACAUAUAUCAAAAAUAAAUACCAAAACCAGAAAAUAAAUGACAUGUCAAAAAUGUAUAAUAGUUGCCGCUUAAAAGCCGCGAUAGAUACAUAUUUUUAUGCUUUUCAAGUUUGCACGCCCGAAAAAAACCGACGGUACACUGUUCAUAUUAAUAUUGGUUUUCCACCAGAGAGAGAGUGUGUGUGUAAUUACUAUUGUUGCAAUUUUAUAUACAUAAAUAAAUAUACGGAAAAUAACGGAAAAAAUAAA
Culex quinquefasciatus (southern house mosquito) is the source of this 633-nucleotide long non-coding RNA. RefSeq lists it as uncharacterized. The transcript is spliced from 2 exons. Lineage: Eukaryota; Metazoa; Arthropoda; Insecta; Diptera; Culicidae. The record is from RefSeq and is a predicted model, not a curated record.